UACGGAGGGUGCAAGCGUUAUCCGGAUUCACUGGGUUUAAAGGGUGCGUAGGCGGGCUUGUAAGUCAGUGGUGAAAUCCCUGAGCUUAACUCGGGAACUGCCAUUGAUACUAUAUGUCUUGAAUGUUGUUGAGGUUUGCGGAAUAUGUCAUGUAGCGGUGAAAUGCUUAGAUAUGACAUAGAACACCGAUUGCGAAGGCAGCUGGCUAAACAAAUAUUGACGCUGAGGCACGAAAGCGUGGGGAUCAAAC
RNAcentral lists this ribosomal RNA (250 nucleotides) under uncultured Sphingobacteriia bacterium. Its description in RNAcentral is "partial 16S ribosomal RNA". It matches the Rfam family "Bacterial small subunit ribosomal RNA", at positions 524 to 773 of the family's 1533-position model. The record is from RNAcentral. Lineage: Bacteria; Pseudomonadati; Bacteroidota; Sphingobacteriia.